GCAGACGGAAGCUGGGCGGAAACAGCUCGGUUUGGAAACAUUCCGGUUCGUAGGUUCAAAUCCUGCCGUUUGCA
This 74-nucleotide transfer RNA is filed under the name Caudoviricetes sp. Its description in RNAcentral is "tRNA-Pro". It matches the Rfam family "tRNA". From Rfam's summary of the family: Transfer RNA (tRNA) molecules are approximately 80 nucleotides in length. Lineage: Duplodnaviria; Heunggongvirae; Uroviricota; Caudoviricetes. The record is from RNAcentral.